AUAUACAUGCUUGAGUUUCAAAACAAAAUUCUUGUGAACAAUUCCAAUCAAAACCCUAAAUCAACUAGAAUGUAUAUGUUUUUUUUUAUCAAAGCUCUCAUGUUAGGCAAACUAGCAUAUAAUGUUGCAUAGAAACUUAAUGAUUAUUUUUUACCCCACUUAAUCUUCUUGUUUGAUUUGGUCAUGGAGCAUCACUUCCAAUAUUUGGUGCCUUGAAUAAAUAAAAAAUAAUUGUAAUAUUAGAUACCAAUUUAUAAUUUUUUAUUAAUAAGAGAAACUACUUUAGAUAUCAAUAUCAUUUUUUAGUUUAUAAAGUAGCAUCUAACUUAUUCAAUGUAGUAACUAAUCAUUUUUUUCUCUAAAAUUUAUUUUUAUAUUUAAUAAUUUUUUUUAUAGUGUUGAAAUACCAAAAAUUUAUAUAUUACAAUUGCUUUCUAUGUAUUUUUUAUAUUUUAAAAUAUUAUAUAAUUUGUUUAUAAUAGAAUAAACAACCAUUCAAUUAUUCAAACACUUUUUUAUUGGGACAAUUUUAUUUCUUAAAUAAAAAAUGAAAAAUUUAUGGAGGCAAUUUUUUAUUCUUUGUAACUUGUUUCUCUCUCACUCUCUGAUAGACUAGCUAAUAUAGCUCUGCACUAAUUGAAAAAAAAAAUACAAAUAUAUGUAUCAACGUGGAAAAUGCUAUCUUAUAAGUACAAACAGUAAUAACAUCUUCCCAACUAGUUACAUAUUUUUCAUACAAUAUUUUGAUAAAUUUAUGUGAGCAUAAUGCAUGAAUGCAUUUAUCACAUGGAUAUAUAGACAGAAGAUGCACACGUGUAGUGACGUCCAACCAAACAUCAUCGACACAAUGUAUUUGUAAAAGAGAAAUUCAGUUAUUCUCUUUGUUUGUGUAAAGUGAAGAAUAAAAUUGUGCAAAAUAUAUAUAUAUAUAUAUAUAUAUAUAUUAGCGUAUAUAAAUUAAUUUUAAUUUAUAAAAAACAAAUUUUUUGGAUGAGAAAAUAUCCUCUGAAAUUUUUGAAAGAUAACAGAAGAUAGUGGUACUGAUGGAAAUAGUAUUCCGAAAGAAGUGAAAGAAAUGAAGUUUGAGUGGUGAUGUCAAUUGAUACUUUGCUUCCAAACUGAGUUCACAUUCAACUCUAAUAAAUCAAUAACAACAUGGCAUUACAUAUGGCAUUACGUCAUUAUGAGAACAAUUACCACUGUUAAAUAUUACUUUCUUUAUGUUUUGAUGUUUGAAUUUGGUAGAUGUGUGGAACGAGUAAAUAUGUGAAAAUUUAAAAGAAAGUACGAAUGUGAAUAUGUUUGGAUUCAAAACAGUAAAAUUGAUUUGUGAGAAAAAUUUAUUGAAAUUUGUGAAUGGUAGGAUUGAUAAAAUAACUGUACCCUUUAUUAAUAACUGCACACCUUUGCACACUUUUGUUUUGGGUCUUCCAUUUUUUGGGUUUUUGUUUUUCUCUUUGUAAUCUGUGUUUUGCUGUUUGACAUGUACAUAUAUAUAUUCUUAUGGAUCCAAUAAUAAUUAGUUUUUUCUGUGCCAUUAAGUUUCACAAUUCAGACUUCUUUCCCUCUCUUUGUUCUCUGUUUUCUCUCCCUCUCUGUUUAGGGUUUGUCAUCCUCUGUUGGUUGGUGCCUUGGGUGAUUGCUAUCUCUUUGCCAUGGCGGUUAAUCGCAUUAUGGUAUCAUAGCUCUUCAAUUGAAGAGCUCUGUUGCGCACUCUGAAAACUUUCUUUCUUUUAUUCUUCUUGAAUUUAUUUUCCUUGUUUCUCUGUUUGCAGCAAUGGCAGAAGAACGCGUCACUUCUUCGUCUCAACCCGAUCCGAUGAACAGCUACCUCUACCUUCAUCCUAGCGACAACCCCGCUGCUCCGCUCGUCUCACCGGUGUUGGACGCUUCCAAUUACCACUCCUGGAGCCGCUCGAUCUUAACGCUAAAAACAAAGUGGAGUUCGUUCUCGGAAUGCAUCCUUGCCCAGAAAAAGACCAUCGAAAUUUCUCAGUUUGGAACAGAUGCAAUAAUAUGGUAGUCUCAUGGUUAGUACACUCCGUUUCUUUACCUAUUCGGAAAAGCAUUAUUUGGAUGGAUAGUGCCCUAGACAUCUGGAAUGACUUGAAAACUAGAUACUCUCAGGGUGACCUAUCUAGAAUUUCCGAUCUUCAAGUAGAAGUAGCUUCUUUAAAUCAGGGGGAUUUAUCUGUGACUGAGUAUUUUACAAAAUUAAGGAUAAUUUGGGACGUGUUGGACAACUUUAGGCCUAUCCCCAUGUGCACAUGUUCUGUAAAAUGUUUCUGUUUAGUUAAUUCGAUCAUAAGUCAAAGAAAGUGCGAAGAUUAUGCCAUGCAAUUUUUGAGAGGGUUAAAUGACCAAUAUAGUAAUGGUAGAUCACACGUUCUUCUCAUGGAACUCAUCCCACCUAUAUCAAAGAUCUUUUCUCUCGUUGCCCAGCAAGAAAGACAAUUAGCAAACCACAUUUAUGUUAGCAUAUCUAGUAUUAACAGUGUUGAUUCCACUAGGACAUCCUCAUCUACUCUGUGCACUUUUUUUGUGGUAAGCAUGGGCACACUGAAAAUGUUUGUUUUAAAAGAGUUGGGUUCCCUCAUCAAGACAAUAGGAACUCCAAACCUAACACUAGAAAGGUAUGCACGCACUGUAACAGAAAUGGUCACACUGUGGAUACCUGUUACAAGAAACAUGGCUACCCUCCUGGGUACAAAUACUAUAACAGCAAUAGGACUAGUCAGAUUAACAGUCUUAUUACUACUGAUGGUGUUUUCUCUGAGCCUUGUCCUAAAGAACAGGAAAAACGUGAUUACCAUCUCACUGCACAUCNNNNNNNNNNNNNNNNNNNNNNNNNNNNNNNNNNNNNNNNNNNNNNNNNNNNNNNNNNNNNNNNNNNNNNNNNNNNNNNNNNNNNNNNNNNNNNNNNNNNNNNNNNNNNNNNNNNNNNNNNNNNNNNNNNNNNNNNNNNNNNNNNNNNNNNNNNNNNNNNNNNNNNNNNNNNNNNNNNNNNNNNNNNNNNNNNNNNNNNNGUCUUGUCUGCAAAGCUACGAUGUUGAGCGAACCUGGUUACCACCGCACUCAACUUACCAAAUGGCCAACAUGUUUUUGCAAACUAUUCAGGGACAGUCGUUUUUACAAAUAAAUUUUAUCUUCUUGAUGUGUUGUAUAUCCCUCAAUUUGCAUGCAACCUUAUAUCUGCUUCUAAAUUGUCUCUACACUUAAAAUGUAACUUGAUCUUUUCCCCCACACACUGUCUUAUACAGGACAACCUCUCCAAAGAGCAGAUUGGUUUAGCUAAUGCCAAAGCUGGCUUGUACAUCUUUAACUCUUCUAUUUUUCACACUGCCACACACCACUUUAUUCCUUCUGUCUCCUGCACUGUUAAGGAAAAUAAUCUGUGGCAUUAUAGAAUGGGGCAUCCCUCUGAUGAAAGGUUGCAUGUCUUGAAAAGUCAAUACCCUUUUGUUUUUGCUGAUAAAACUCAUAUGUGUGAUAUUUGUAAUCGUGCAAAACAAAGAAAACUUCCCUUUACUCUAAGCACCUCUCACACUACUGCUAUAUUUGAUAUCAUUCAUGUAGAUAUUUGGGGACCCUGUUUUGUUACAUCUAUGCAAGGUUUUCGUUAUUUUUUGACCAUUGUAGAUGAUUUUUCUCGUUAUACAUGGACUAUAUUGUUGCAUGCUAAAUCUGAAGUUCGCACCCAUCUCAUAAAUUUUAUUGCUUAUGCUGAAAAUCAAUUUAAAACAACCGUCAAAUGCAUUCGUUCUGAUAAUGGUGUUGAAUUUGCCAUCAAAUUAUUUUUUUUUGCUUCCAAAGGCACAGUUCAUCAAACUACUUGCAUUGAAACCCCCCAACAAAAUGGUAUAGCUGAACGUAAACACCAACACAUUUUAAACAUCACUCGCGCUUUACUGUUUCAAGCAAAUUUACCUAAUAUUUUUUGGGACUUCGCUGUCCAACAUGCUGUUUUCCUCAUAAAUUGCACACCCAUUCCCCUUUUACAAGAUAUUGCUCCAUAUGAAAAACUUUUUGGAAAACCUUGUGAUAUCUCUUCCUUACGGGUUUUUGGCUGCUCCUGUUAUUCUACUACCAUUCAUGCUAAUAGAAAGAAAUUAGAUCCUAGAUCUGUUCAUGGUAUAUUUCUCGGCUUUCCACACAAUAUUAAAGGUUACAUCAUCUUAAAUUUAAAGUAUCAUCGCAUUGAAGUUUCAAGACAUGUGAUCUUUCAUGAACAUCAUUUUCCAUACAUAUUGAAUCAUGAUGACAAACAGAGCCCCAACACUUUAUCUUUACCCAUUCCUGCUAACUAUAAUACACUCUGUGAUGAUAUUUUGUUUGAUUAUAACUGUCACAAUCAUGAGCACGAGCCUCCAAUCACUCACAAUGAAGACAACAUUAUUCCAACUAGACGCUCCAGCAGACAAAGACGACCCCCUACCUACUUAGAGGACUUCCAGACUUGCUUACCUGCUGCAAACACUGUAAGUAAUCGGUAUCCCAUUCAUAAAUUUCUUUCCUACACUGCUCUCUCACCUUCUUUCAAAAAGACUAUUUUAUCUAUAUCUUCUAACACUGAACCCAACACUUACACUGAGGCUUCUAAGUAUCAUUGUUGGAAACAAGCAAUGCUAGAAGAGCUUAAUGCUCUCAAUGCUAACAACACAUGGCAGAUCACUAUUCUUCCUCCAGGUAAGAAAACCAUUGGCUGCAAAUGGGUUUUUAAGGUAAAACACAAAGCUUAUGGAACCAUUGAUCGCCACAAAGCAUGGUUGGUAGCAAAAGGCUACACACAAUUAGGAGGUCUUGAUUUUUUAGAUACUUUUGCUCCUGUAGCAAAACUAACCACUUUAAGACUUUUACUUGCUGUUGCCACUUCUCAAAACUGGAUUCUUAAACACGCUUUUCUCCAUGGGGACCUCCUUGAGGAAGUCUACAUGCAACCACCACCAGGCCUCAAACUCCCAUCUCCUCAACAUGUUUGCAAAUUACAAAGAUCACUCUAUGGCCUUCGCCAGGCCGGCCGCCAAUGGUAUGCAAAACUGUCUCAAUUUUUACUUUCACAUAAAUACACUUUAUCCUUUGCUGAUCACUCUCUAUUUUUACAUCAUAACGGACCUAACAUCACCAUUAUUCUUGUGUAUGUUGAUGAUCUGGUGCUUACUGGAAACGAUCAUGAGGAAAUUGCCCAUAUCACCUCUCUGCUGGACACUCAAUUCAAGAUCAAAAACCUAGGAGACCUCACCUAUUUUUUGGGCCUGGAGGUGGCCAGAAACAGCCAAGGGCUCCACAUCUGUCAACGAAAAUACGUACUGGACCUUCUUCAUGAAACCAGCAUGAUCAAUUCUGCUCCUAUGCCUACACCCAUGUUCACUCAUCUCGGCUUUCCUCCUCCGUUGGCACACGACUCAAUGACAUUGAAACCUCUGAAUAUAGAAGACUCAUUGGCAAGCUCAUAUACCUAACCAACACACGACCUGACAUUGCCUUUGCUGUCCACAACCUCAGCCAAUUUAUUUCCUCUCCUACCAAUCUCCAUCAACAAGCUGCUUUUCGUCUUCUUUGGUACUUGAAAGGCAACCCUGGAAAUGGUAUCUUCUUUCACAACAACAACACUCUCCAACUUCGCGGUUUCAGUGACUCGGAUUGGGCUACCUGUCCUGAAACCCGAAAAUCAGUAACCGGUUACUCCAUCUUUUUGGGUGACUCUCUCGUCUCAUGGAAAUCCAAGAAACAACAAACCAUUUCCCAAAGUUCUUCUGAAGCCGAAUAUAGAGCCUUAGCCACAACCACCUGCGAGAUUCAAUGGCUAACCUAUAUCCUGCAAGACCUUGGUAUUUCCUAUAUCCAACCAGCAACCAUCUACUGUGACAACCAAUCUACAAUAAACAUUGCCUCAAAUCAAGUGUUUCAUGAGCGUACCAAGCACAUCGAUAUUGACUGUCACAUCGUCCGAGACAAGAUCACCGUUGGGCUUCUCAAGUUGCUUCCAAUCUCUUCCUCUAUGCAAAUUGCAGAUAUCCUUACAAAACCCCUUGCUCCAACAAUAUACAAAGAGAUCCAGUCCAAGCUGGGAAUGAGAAACAUAUAUUCCCAGCUUGAGGGGGGCUGAUAAAAUAACUACCCUUUAUUAAUAACUGCACACCUUUGCACACUUUUGUUUUGGGCCUUCCAUUUUUUGGGCUUUUGUUUUUCUCUUUGUAAUCUGUGUUUUGCUGUUUGACAUGUACAUAUAUAUACUCUUAUGGAUCCAAUAAUAAUUAGUUUUUCUGUGCCAUUAAGUUUCACAAUUCAGACUUCUUUCCCUCUCUCUGUUCUCUGUCUUCUCUCCCUCUCUGUUUAGGGUUUGUCAUCCUCUGUUGGUUGGUGCCUU
This 6367-nucleotide long non-coding RNA is filed under the name Phaseolus vulgaris (common bean). RNAcentral describes it as "long non-coding RNA (PVUL_LNC003820)". Lineage: Eukaryota; Viridiplantae; Streptophyta; Magnoliopsida; Fabales; Fabaceae. The record is from RNAcentral.